RNAcentral lists this long non-coding RNA (746 nucleotides) under Sinocyclocheilus anshuiensis. RNAcentral's name for it is "lncRNA (ENSSANG00000035396.1)". The record is from RNAcentral. Lineage: Eukaryota; Metazoa; Chordata; Actinopteri; Cypriniformes; Cyprinidae.
UAAGCCUGAAUUCCUCCAGGGAAUGCAUGAACUGAUUGAAAACUGUUUACCUUCAAUGCGAUGCAGUCGCUUUGGAUAAUGGGACCUGACAAAUGCAUAAAUGUAAAGAAUCACAUGGACAUAUUGCAGCUCGGGGAAAAUCUGCCCUGUGGAGAACAGUGACAGCCCAAGGACGUGUUCUGAAGGCCUUCAGACAAUUUGGAGAGAAAAAAUGUGCUAAAACCACUGUAAACUCCUCAAACCAGCGGGAUGUGAGCUGAACUGGAUCAAGCUGCUGGAUAAUUCCUCUUUUGGACCAGCUUUUAAAAGCCCAUCCACAAUUAGGAUGGACCCUGUUUUCUCAAGUACAGGUGGUCGUGUUAAUCGGACCGGCAUGCUAAUUGGGAUGCAUCUGUCCUUGUAAUCAAGGGCAGCUACCUGGAUAACUGCAGUAGACAUGCCGGCUAUAGGAAAGUGUUUUGUAAAACAUUUCAUGGGUCACAAGAAAGCAACAGACCAUUGCCCCAACACACCACCUUUGUUCAAUCUGCAGAAGAGCCAAAAAAGCCUUGCACUUUCUUAGUGGCGUCCACUUUUUGGAAAAUCCAACCGUCUUCGCUGUCAGCACACACGAACAGCCACAUUUAUUCAACCUGCUAAAUUAAUCGGUGUUUGGGCUACCAGGAGUAAUCCAAGGCACUAAAAGCCACUGAAUUUUCUAUUUUUCUUUUUUUUUUUUUUUUUGCUCUAUUUUAUUUAUUUGGCCA